UCCAAUUGGUUGUCCACAUGCAAGGAGGAAAUACAAGGAAAUUAAUACAAAAUUUUCUUCUCCGUGUAAUUUCAAAUUUUCUCUCGGUGAAACUUCUUCCAAAAUGAGUGCUGCCUGUUGUUCAUGUUUCCGUACAAUCUCUCGUACAUACGAUUUCAGUUCCCACGCCAGAGCUGCCCCAUGCAGAACCUUCUCCUCCUCGACUCUCCGUCCUCAUCGACCUCGCACCCGCCGCCGCCGCCGCUUCUUUAUAAUUUUCAAAUUCUCCGGUUGAUCAUCAUCUGCCGCCCCAUGGCCACCUCAUUAAAGUGGCUACUGACCAUCCCUUAUUUUUUUUUGUUAUUAUUAUUAUUUUGAUCCACCGUGUUCCAUUCUUUUUAGAAAUUGGUUGAGAUGCCAUUUUGAGAAUAUAAUAUAGCAAAUAUAGCACAAUUAUUUAGAAUUUUGUAAAUAUGACAAAAUUUUUAUUUUAAAUUUGUUAUUAUUUCGAAACUACCUUUCAAAAAUUUAUUUCUCUUUCUCUUUUUAGUGUCCGGCCUGUUAUUUAUUUAUUCUUCUAUUUUUUAAGGUUCUAAUUAUUUAUUUAUUUUUAUACCAGAAAAAUUAGUUGUUCUUUCGGUCUUAAUUUUGAUUUUAGAAUAUCAAUAGUACAAUAAUUGCAAUAUAAAAUAUAUUGGUGUUGUUAAUCAGAGUAAUUUAACUUCAUUUGUGUUUUUUUUUUUACUUUAUUCGAUAUGUAUUUUGAGUUGAAUCUGAUUUCAAAUGAUUUUGUUCUUUUUUCCAUUGAUUUUAUUUUGGUUUUACUUUGUCUCAGUUUUAGAUAUCAAUGUUGUGAUAUACUUAUAUUAUAUGUAUUAGUUGUUUGAUAUACUACAACAUGAUUUUCAUUUUUUUCAAAUUUUAUACAAGUUCAUUAUAGUAUUAUUAAAUAUACGAAUGAUAUAACUCAAUGUAUCAUUAUCAAGUAUAUGAAUCAAGUUUACAGGUGUAUAUUAAAAGUAUAUCAAGUGUAUAAAUAGAACUUAAAGUAUAUCAAGUGUAUUUAAUCAAUAUUUCAAAUGAAUCAAGUUUACAUAUGUAUAUCAAGUGUAUAAAUAGGAUUUCAUAUCAAGUAUAUUUAAUCAUUUAAAUGUGUAGGUGAAUAAUACUAAUUGAGUGUAUUUGCAUAGUGCAUCAGGUGUGUCAAAUAUAUCAUGUACAUCAAACGUAUCAAAUUUGUUGAGUGUACCAAUGAAGCAUAACAAAUUUAUUAGUGGUGUAUCAAGUGUAUUAGUGCAUAACAAGUUUAAACUUAUAAGUGGAGUUUUUAAGUGUAUCAAACUAAUCAAGUAUAUCAAGGUCUAAGGGGUAUCAAGUGUAUCAUGAAGAAUCAAGUGUAACGAUGAGUAUUUAUGUGUAUCAAGAUGUUUCAGGUGUGUAUCAAAAUGUAUCAAGUGUAUCAAAUAGUAUCAGGUGCAUCAAAUGUAUUUAUCAAAUGUAUCAAGUGCAUCAAGUGUAUCUAUCAAAUGUAUCUAUCAAGUGUAUGUGUAAGAAGUAUCAAGUGUAUCAGAGAAUAUUAGGUGUAUUAUACGUGUAUAAUAUAAGGUGUAUCAAAUGUAUAUCAGUAGUGAGGACAUUUGUGACAUUUUAUCUAUUGAUGUGUGUUGGACUUUGUUUUUGUCAUCUUCGUAAAUAAUAAAGUAAGCCCAGCUUAUUUGAUAUGUAAGCUUUUUAUUAUUAUUAUUUAAGUCAAUUUAAU
Molecule: long non-coding RNA, 1738 nt
Filed under: Cucumis sativus (cucumber)
Lineage: Eukaryota; Viridiplantae; Streptophyta; Magnoliopsida; Cucurbitales; Cucurbitaceae
Description: long non-coding RNA (CSAT_LNC002012)
Source: RNAcentral